Molecule: non-coding RNA, 3021 nt
Organism: Oncorhynchus mykiss (rainbow trout)
Lineage: Eukaryota; Metazoa; Chordata; Actinopteri; Salmoniformes; Salmonidae
Source: RefSeq, a predicted model, not a curated record
GGCAUUAUAACUAGUACGAACAACCGAUAAUACUCUGGUUAGAACACACUCACACAUCAUUUCUUGCGAUUCCAAGGGUUACGAAGACGUCACCGGUCUCCAUGGCUUUGCUGUUGCCAAGAUACGGCUCUCUAGGAUGGGAUGUUGUGGCAGGUGAGGUGAGGCGAUAGGGACAGAGGUGACAUAAGAGUGUCAGUGUUACAUAUUAAGGCGGGGUUGGCUCCACUUUAGACUAUAAGAGAAGAAUGUAGGCAUCAGGGUUGAGGUCAAGUCCAUUUCAAAUGAGUCAGUUCAGCAAGUGAAUUGCCAAAGUUUCUGCAACAAGAUGCCUUUCUUUAGUAAAACACUGGUGCCAGCCUAUUUGCAGUGCCAGCCUGUGUGUGUUGUGUCAGUGAUUUGCAUUGCUCAUCAUCCCUUACAGUAGCAUAAUUUGCAUGGUGAUACUUCAGCACCACCUUCAGGAAUAGUUCCGUCAGUGUGUGUUUGUGUGUGUGUGGUAACUAGACAAAAUGGUUUGACUAUGAUUGGAACAGAAACACACACACACACUGACUGAACUGGUGGUUACGAUCAGAGACACUUUACACGUACGUGGUGGAUUGAGACGAGAGAGGAGAGAAUUAUAGAUCUAGACUAGAUCUGAUUACAAUUUCAAUUUCUCAGAGGUCUUAGGAGAGAGGAGGGGACCACUGCCUCUAAAAUGAAUCUCACUGGGGAACAUGCAUCCCCAAUGUUGAGAGCCUAAUCCAGCAGGAGAGACCAGACUCAACUGUACCGAGCUGUGCGUCCAUGAAGAGUAACCAGUCUAUGGAUCCACUUACUGUGUCCAGAGAGAGAACCUCUUCUACUAAACUAAAGGCACAUCAGAAGAGACCAGUCUCACCUGCACACAGCUGUGUGUCCGUGAAGAGUGACCAGUCUAUAAAUCAUCCAAUCAUGUUCAAAGGUGGAGACUCUUCUACUAAACUACAAGUUCAUCAGGAGAGAUCAGAGUCACCUGUUCCCAGCUAUGUGUCCAUGAAGAGUCACCAGUCUAUGGAUCCACCUGUAAUUUUCAGAGAAAGAGACUACUAAAACAAAGAUGGGGCAUGAAAAUGUCUCAAUUCAGUCAUUGUCACUUGUUGCUUUUUUUCAACAGACAAGUGACUCUGGUCUAUGGAUCAUCCAAUCCUCUGAGUUGGAAACAUUACUACUGGACAAAGGGUCGACCAGGAGAGACCAGACUUGGAUGUUCUUCAUGGGCAAGGAGAGGAGACCUGUCAAAUCUUCCAUGCACUACAGUCACAGAGAGCCAACACUGAGUCUGAGUCUAUGGUGGCAGCUAACUCACCUAAGGGCUCUGAACCCAGCAGCAGUGGCUCUGGUCCAAACAGCAUGCAGGAGCACUUAAGGAAGAAUAAGGACAUAUUAGGGAAGCAGCACAGUCCCAUUGAUUACCUUAGUAUUAGCUCAGAGAGUGGUGAUAACCCUGGUUCCUUUAUGGAUGUCACACUGUCCAAGCGUGAGGGCUACACUGUUCCCCUGCAGUGCCACCAGCAUGAGGCAGCCAUGAUCGGAGACGCCUUCCGGAGCCAUGGCCAGGUCUGUAACUUUAUAGUUGUCUACCAGAGUCAGCCGUCUGUUCCAGGAGAGGACGUGAUUCUACUGACAGGGGUGGCCGGCAGUGGGAAGACCACUUUAGUGAGACGACUGCUGGUUCAUGUCUGGAUCAGGGCCUCAGACUCCCAGAAGCUAGAAGCUCUAUCCUUCAGAGAGCUCAAUCUACUCAGUGAGCCUCAGAGCCUGCUGGAGCUUCUCCUAACGCACUUCAGGCACCUGUUCUGGACAAAUUUGUCAACUCCCAACAUGGCCAGAUCCUGCUCAUCUUGGACGGGCUCAAUGAGCUUCCCCCUUGACUUUGAGGGUCGCCUCGGCCGGCACCUAGCAGCUGACUUAGAACUGGUGUGGACCAGGGGAAUCUGACUGUUUAAUUAAAACAAAGCAUCGCGAAGGCGCAAGGUGGGUGUUGAUGCGAUAUGAUUUCUGCCCAGUGUUCUGAAUGUCAAAGUGAAGAAAUAUGGGUCUUUCAGUCAAGCAUGAACAUGUGAGGGUGGUUACACCAGACUCAAUGAUUUGCUGCGGGGCUAUUGUAAACAAAUCCUGACCUUGACAGGAAGCCAAUUUGAGAGUGAUGGCUCAAACGCAUCCUUGGCUUUGGCUGGGAGGGGGGGGAGUUAAGUCCUGUGAGACGGCUGAUGAAAGUGUACUGCUGGCAUCAGUUUGAUCACAGAGCGGCUGUGGUGAAGCGUUUAAACACGCGUAUCCCAUAUACUUAGCUAACUCUAAAACCGCAAAGGUUUGAAUCGAACGCUGGCUUCGGCUGGACCCGCUAACAGUGGAGCACUAAAUGGAGAUGGAAUGUGCUUAGCGGUUAUGGACACUGCCAGGUCUCAGGUCCGCCAGGGUGCGAGACUCUACACAUUCUAUGUGUGAGCUGUCCUCCACACUCCUUGGUGCAUGUAGUGGAGAUGGCAUGUGCCUUACCAUUAACUGACACUACCAGGCCUCAGGCUUGCCUGAGUGUGGGACACCACAUAUUGUAGGUGAGGAGGUCUCCUCUACGCUCACUAUACUCGAGGAGGAGACUAAACCCAUUGGCCCCGCAGUGAUAGGGCUUUGCAUGAAUCUGGCUCAUGGCCUACGAAGUGUGGAGAGGUAUCUCCAGAUGUCUGGGGAGAGAGGCCUAUAUCUGAUGUGGGUAGUACCAUCCACGCCCAUUGAUUUGCUGUGGAACCAUAAAAUGGACGGAAGAAGCCCAGGUUCUCACUGGGCACGGAUCACUGAAUGUCAACUUGAUGAAAUUCAAGAGGAGCGUACCCACCUGUAGUAAUCCUGCUCAGUACGACAGGAACCGCAGGUUCAGACAUUUGGUGUAUGUGCUUGGCUGAGGAGCCAAUGGUGCGAAGCUACCAUCUGUGGGAUUAUGACUGAACCCCUCUAAGUCAGAAUCCCCCCUAAACGUAACGAUACCGUAGCGCCGCA